GAUGAACGCUGGCGGCGUGCCUAAUACAUGCAAGUCGAGCGAACGGACGAGAAGCUUGCUUUUCUGAUGUUAGCGGCGGACGGGUGAGUAACACGUGGAUAACCUACCUAUAAGACUGGGAUAACUUCGGGAAACCGGAGCUAAUACCGGAUAAUAUUUUGAACCGCAUGGUUCAAAAGUGAAAGACGGUCUUGCUGUCACUUAUAGAUGGAUCCGCGCUGCAUUAGCUAGUUGGUAAGGUAACGGCUUACCAAGGCAACGAUGCAUAGCCGACCUGAGAGGGUGAUCGGCCACACUGGAACUGAGACACGGUCCAGACUCCUACGGGAGGCAGCAGUAGGGAAUCUUCCGCAAUGGGCGAAAGCCUGACGGAGCAACGCCGCGUGAGUGAUGAAGGUCUUCGGAUCGUAAAACUCUGUUAUUAGGGAAGAACAUAUGUGAAAGUAACGGUGCACAUCUUGACGGUACCUAAUCAGAAAGCCACGGCUAACUACGU
This 496-nucleotide ribosomal RNA is filed under the name uncultured bacterium. RNAcentral's name for it is "partial 16S ribosomal RNA". It matches the Rfam family "Bacterial small subunit ribosomal RNA", at positions 28 to 506 of the family's 1533-position model. The record is from RNAcentral.